CAACUACUCCCUCUGUCCCAAAUUUCUUGUCUUGGAUUUGUCUAGAUACGGAUGUAUCUAAUACUAAAAUGUGACUUGAUACAUCCGUAUCUAGACAAAUCUAAGGCAAGAAUUUUGGGACGGAGGGAGUACUUU
This is a non-coding RNA of Triticum aestivum (bread wheat), 135 nucleotides long. The record is from Rfam. NCBI's taxonomy places the organism in Eukaryota, Viridiplantae, Streptophyta, Magnoliopsida, Poales, Poaceae.